UGAGUAACACGUGAGUGACCUNCCUUUAGACUGGAACAACUUACCGAAAGGUGAGCUAAUGCCGGAUGAGUUAUAUAAGUGCAUGUUUAUAUAGGAAAAGUUGGGGAGACCUGACGCUGAAAGAUGGACUCGCGUCCCAUUAGCUAGUUGGUAGGGUAAUGGCCUACCAAGGCGACGAUGGGUAGCCGGCCUGAGAGGGUGGCCGGCCACACUGGGACUGAGACACGGCCCAGACUCCUACGGGAGGCAGCAG
RNAcentral lists this ribosomal RNA (253 nucleotides) under uncultured bacterium. RNAcentral's name for it is "partial 16S ribosomal RNA". It matches the Rfam family "Bacterial small subunit ribosomal RNA", at positions 107 to 354 of the family's 1533-position model. The record is from RNAcentral.